CGGAGGGCGUAGCGUUGUUCGGAAUUACUGGGCGUAAAGCGCACGUAGGCGGACCAGAAGUUGGGUGGAAUCCCGGGCUCAACCUCGGAACUGCCUUCAAAACUAUUGGUCUUGAGUUCGAGAGAGGUGAGUGGAAUUCCGAGUGUAGAGGUAGAAUUCGUAGAUAUUCGGAGGAACACCAGUGGCGAAGGCGGCUCACUGGCUCGAUACUGACGCUGAGGUGCGAAAGCGUGGGGAGCAAACAGGAUU
RNAcentral lists this ribosomal RNA (249 nucleotides) under uncultured bacterium. Its description in RNAcentral is "partial 16S ribosomal RNA". It matches the Rfam family "Bacterial small subunit ribosomal RNA", at positions 526 to 779 of the family's 1533-position model. The record is from RNAcentral.